GACGAACGCUGGCGGCGUGCUUAACACAUGCAAGUCGAACGGAAAGGCCCUGCUUUUGUGGGGUGCUCGAGUGGCGAACGGGUGAGUAACACGUGAGUAACCUGCCCUUGACUUUGGGAUAACUUCAGGAAACUGGGGCUAAUACCGGAUAGGAGCUCCUGCUGCAUGGGGGGGGUGGGAAAUUUUCGGCGGGUGGGGAUGGACUCGCGGCUUAUCGGUUGGUUGGUGGGGGAGGGGCUUACCAAGGCUUUGACGGGUAGCCGGCCUGAGAGGGUGACCGGCGACAAUGCGACUGAGAUACGGACCAGACUCCUACGGGAGGCAGCAGUGGGGAAUAUUGCACAAUGGGCGGAAGCCUGAUGAAGCAACGCCGCGUGCGGGAUGACGGCCUUCGGGUUGUAAACCGCUUUCGCCUGUGACGCAGCGUGAGUGACGGUAAUGGGUAAAGAAGCACCGGCUAACUACGUG
RNAcentral lists this ribosomal RNA (468 nucleotides) under uncultured bacterium. RNAcentral's name for it is "partial 16S ribosomal RNA". It matches the Rfam family "Bacterial small subunit ribosomal RNA", at positions 28 to 507 of the family's 1533-position model. The record is from RNAcentral.